GCAAACUCCAUACAGCGUUAUCGUUCGGGUCAUACUUCCCUUUCUCUACAAACACUGCCAUCGGCCCUUCGGAUGCUUUCGGUUAUUUGCUGCGGAUUAGACUGGAACUACUUUUUCCUUAGCAGCAAUAGCGUCAAAAUGGCUGCCUGGCAGCAGACGCCGGAAAAAAUUACAGACAUAAGCUGUUGUUUCUGUUUCAGAACAAACCUUUCUAAUUGUUAUUCACUUUCUGGUCCGAAGUUUUCAAAAUUCAACAAUCUUUUUUCUUCUUUUUUAAGUUCUAACCAAUUACUACAGGAAAUUACAAACAUACCAU
This 316-nucleotide long non-coding RNA is filed under the name Mytilus galloprovincialis (Mediterranean mussel). The record is from RNAcentral. Lineage: Eukaryota; Metazoa; Mollusca; Bivalvia; Mytilida; Mytilidae.